Molecule: ribosomal RNA, 581 nt
Filed under: Itapotihyla langsdorffii (ocellated treefrog)
Lineage: Eukaryota; Metazoa; Chordata; Amphibia; Anura; Hylidae
Description: partial large subunit ribosomal RNA
Rfam family: Bacterial large subunit ribosomal RNA
Source: RNAcentral
CGCCUCUUGAAUAACUAUAAGAGGUCCAGCCUGCCCAGUGACUCUGUUCAACGGCCGCGGUAUCCUAACCGUGCGAAGGUAGCGUAAUCACUUGUUCUUUAAAUGAGGACUCGUAUGAAUGGCACCACGAGGGUUAUACUGUCUCCUUUUUCUAAUCAGUGAAACUAAUCUCCCCGUGAAGAAGCGGGGAUAAAAAUAUAAGACGAGAAGACCCUAUGGAGCUUUAAACUUUAUAACAAAUGCUAUACAUCUAAUAACCUUCAGAGCAUUAAACAACAUCCUAGCAUCAUGAUUAUUAGUUUUAGGUUGGGGUGACCGCGGAGCAAAAAUUAACCUCCACAUUGAACGGGACUAGACCCUGAGCAAAAAGCAACAACUUUAAGCACCAAUAAAUUGACAUUAAUUGACCCAAUAUUUUGAUCAACGAACCAAGUUACCCUAGGGAUAACAGCGCAAUCCACUUCAAGAGCUCCUAUCGACAAGUGGGUUUACGACCUCGAUGUUGGAUCAGGGUAUCCCAGUGGUGCAGCCGCUACUAAAGGUUCGUUUGUUCAACGAUUAAAACCCUACGUGAUCUGAGU